AGAAACAGGUUUUCAAAGAAGAAAAAAGGCCUCGAAAAGGCAAAACUUAAACUGGUUGCCUAAAGGACUGAAUAACAACAGUAAAAUCGCUAAGCAAUUGUUGGCAUUGUUGGCCUGAUCUCAAAUCCUUCAACAAUAAGCCCUCCUUUUGCAUGAAAAUCAGGUAUCACAUCUUCAAUUGUAAACUCUAUGCAAUCAUCUUCAUUUUCAGUCGAAAAAUUACCCAAUUCUAACUCGAACCAGCCACCAUCUCUAAGUUUCGGAACUGGUUUAUGAUCAAGCUCCAUGUUACUAGGAUGAUCCGGAUUCAAAGAAGCGAACCGCACGUUUGCAGAUUUGUCACCAAUAAAUUCAACUGAAAUCUCCACUUUUCUAUCAUCAAACCCAUAAGAAUAAUAAUCUUCUAACUUGUAAACAAGGUAAGCUGUGUA
Molecule: unclassified non-coding RNA, 431 nt
Filed under: Hevea brasiliensis (rubber tree)
Lineage: Eukaryota; Viridiplantae; Streptophyta; Magnoliopsida; Malpighiales; Euphorbiaceae
Source: RNAcentral